AGAGUUUGAUCCUGGCUCAGAAUGAACGCUGGCGGCGUGCUUAACACAUGCAAGUCGCACGAGAACUCCUUAGCUUGCUAAGGAAAGUAAGGUGGCGCACGGGUGAGUAACGCGUGGGUAAUCUACCUCCCAAUUGGGGAUAACAUUGCGAAAGCGAUGCUAAUACCGAAUACUAUUUAUUUGGCUCCGGCUAAUUAAAUUAAAGGUGGCCUCUACAUGUAAGCUACUGUUGGAAGAUGAGCCCGCGUCCCAUUAGCUUGUUGGUAAGGUAACGGCUUACCAAGGCUACGAUGGGUAGCUGGUCUGAGAGGAUGAUCAGCCACACUGGAACUGACACACGGUCCAGACUCCUACGGGAGGCAGCAGUGAGGAAUUUUGCGCAAUGGGGGAAACCCUGACGCAGCAACGCCGCGUGAGUGAUGAAGGCUCUUGGGUCGUAAAGCUCUGUCAAGUGGGAAGAAACCACAUGAUGCCAAUACCAUCGUGUGCUGACGGUACCACUGAAGGAAGCACCGGCUAACUCCGUGCCAGCAGCCGCGGUAAUACGGGGGGUGCAAGCGUUAUUCGGAAUUAUUGGGCGUAAAGGGCGCGUAGGCGGUUUGUAAAGUCAGAUGUGAAAGCCCAGGGCUUAACCUUGGAAGUGCAUUUGAAACUAACAGACUUGAGUAUGGGAGAGGGAAGUGGAAUUCCUGGUGUAGAGGUGAAAUUCGUAGAUAUCAGGAGGAACACCUGUGGCGAAGGCGACUUCCUGGACCAAUACUGACGCUGAGGCGCGAAGGCGUGGGGAGCAAACAGGACUAGAUACCCUGGUAGUCCACGCAGUAAACGGUGAUCACUAGGUGUAGCGGGUAUUGACCCCUGCUGUGCCGGAGUUAACGCAUUAAGUGAUCCGCCUGGGGAGUACGAUCGCAAGGUUAAAACUCAAAGGAAUUGACGGGGGCCCGUACAAGCGGUGGAGCAUGUGGUUUAAUUCGACGCAACGCGAAGAACCUUACCUGGACUUGACAUCUCGGGAAUCCUUUUGAAAAUUUGGAGUGCCCUUCGGGGAACCCGAUGACAGGUGCUGCAUGGCUGUCGUCAGCUCGUGUCGUGAGAUGUUGGGUUAAGUCCCGCAACGAGCGCAACCCCUAUCUUUAGUUGCCAGCAUUCAGUUGGGGACUCUAAAGAUACCGCCCCGGUCAACGGGGAGGAAGGUGGGGAUGACGUCAAGUCCUCAUGGCCUUUAUGUCCAGGGCUACACACGUGCUACAAUGGGCUGUACAGAGGGUCGCGAGCUCGUGAGAGUUAGCCAAUCCCUAAAAAGCAGUUCUCAGUUCGGAUUGGAGUCUGCAACUCGACUUCAUGAAGUUGGUAUCGCUAGUAAUCGCGGAUCAGCAUGCCGCGGUGAAUACGUUCCCGGGCCUUGUACACACCGCCCGUCACACCAUGAGAGUUGGCUGUACCCGAAGUUGUCGGACCAACCCAUUCGGGAGGUAGGCACCUAAGGUAUGGCUGAUGAUUGGGGUGAAGUCGGAACAAGGUA
RNAcentral lists this ribosomal RNA (1522 nucleotides) under metagenome. Its description in RNAcentral is "bacterial SSU rRNA". It matches the Rfam family "Bacterial small subunit ribosomal RNA". The record is from RNAcentral.